GACGAACGCUGGCGGCGUGCUUAACACAUGCAAGUCGAGCGGUAAGGCCCUUUCGGGGUACACGAGCGGCGAACGGGUGAGUAACACGUGGGUGACCUGCCCUCAGCUCUGGGAUAAGCCUGGGAAACCGGGUCUAAUACCGGAUAUGACUCCAUGACGCAUGUUGUGGGGUGGAAAGCCUUGUGCGGCUGAGGAUGGGCCCGCGGCCUAUCAGCUUGUUGGUGGGGUGAUGGCCUACCAAGGCGACGACGGGUAGCCGGCCUGAGAGGGCGACCGGCCACACUGGGGACUGAGACACGGCCCAGACUCCUACGGGAGGCAGCAGUGGGGAAUCUUGCGCAAUGGGCGAAAGCCUGACGCAGCGACGCCGCGUGAGGGAUGACGGCCUGGUU
This 392-nucleotide ribosomal RNA is filed under the name uncultured bacterium. Its description in RNAcentral is "bacterial SSU rRNA". It matches the Rfam family "Bacterial small subunit ribosomal RNA", at positions 28 to 424 of the family's 1533-position model. The record is from RNAcentral.